This 424-nucleotide ribosomal RNA is filed under the name uncultured bacterium. RNAcentral's name for it is "bacterial SSU rRNA". It matches the Rfam family "Bacterial small subunit ribosomal RNA", at positions 355 to 796 of the family's 1533-position model. The record is from RNAcentral.
UAACGAAUCUUCCACAAUGCACGAAAGUGUGAUGGAGCGACGCCGCGUGUGGGAUGAAGUCCUUCGGGAUGUAAACCACUGUCAGGGGUUAGAAAGUUCUGAUCAACCCCAGAGGAAGAGGCGGCUAACUCUGUGCCAGCAGCCGCGGUAAUACAGAGGCCUCGAGCGUUAGGCGGAAUCACUGGGCUUAAAGCGUGUGUAGGCGGCUCGUUAAGUACCUUGUGAAAUCCCACGGCUUAACCGUGGAACUGCUUGGUAUACUGGCGGGCUUGAGCCAUCUAGGGGCUACCGGAACAAAUGGUGGAGCGGUGAAAUGCGUAGAUAUCAUUUGGAACACCAAAGGUGAAAACAGGUAGCUGGGGAUGUGCUGACGCUGAGACACGAAAGCCAGGGGAGCAAACGGGAUUAGAUACCCCUGUAGUCC